CCUACGGGAGGCUGCAGUGAGGAAUAUUGGUCAAUGGGCUUACGCCUGAACCAGCCAAGUCGCGUGAGGGAAGACUGCCCUAUGGGUUGUAAACUUCUUUUAUAAAGGAAUAAAACGAGGCACGUGUGCCUUUUUGCAUGUACUUUAUGAAUAAGGAUCGGCUAACUCCGUGCCAGCAGCCGCGGUAAUACGGAGGAUCCGAGCGUUAUCCGGAUUUAUUGGGUUUAAAGGGAGCGUAGAUGGGUUGUUAAGUCAGUUGUGAAAGUUUGCGGCUCAACCGUAAAAUUGCAAUUGAUACUGGCAGUUUUGAGUACAGUUGAGGUAGGCGGAAUUGGUGGUGUAGCGGUGAAAUGCUUAGAUAUCACGAAGAACCCUGAUUGCGAAGGCAGCUUACUAAACUGUGACUGACAUUGAUGCUCGAAAGUGUGGGUAUCAAACAGGAUUAGAUACCCCUGUAGUC
RNAcentral lists this ribosomal RNA (460 nucleotides) under uncultured bacterium. RNAcentral describes it as "partial 16S ribosomal RNA". It matches the Rfam family "Bacterial small subunit ribosomal RNA", at positions 338 to 795 of the family's 1533-position model. The record is from RNAcentral.